RNAcentral lists this ribosomal RNA (811 nucleotides) under uncultured bacterium. RNAcentral's name for it is "bacterial SSU rRNA". It matches the Rfam family "Bacterial small subunit ribosomal RNA", at positions 1 to 818 of the family's 1533-position model. The record is from RNAcentral.
GAAUUCGCCCUUAGAGUUUGAUCCUGGCUCAGGACGAUCUCUGGCGGCGUGCCUAACACAUGCUAGUCGAACGGAGUUGAAAGGAGCUUGCUUUUUUCAACUCAGUGGCGGACGGGUGAGUAACGCGUGAGUAACCUGCCUUUCAGAGGGGGAUAACGUUCUGAAAAGAACGCUAAUACCGCAUAAGAUUGUAGCUUCGCAUGGAGUAGCAAUCAAAGGAGCAAUCCGCUGAAAGAUGGACUCGCGUCCGAUUAGAUAGUUGGCGGGGUAACGGCCCACCAAGUCGACGAUCGGUAGCCGGACUGAGAGGUUGAUCGGCCACAUUGGGACUGAGACACGGCCCAGACUCCUACGGGAGGCAGCAGUGAGGGAUAUUGGGCAAUGGGGGAAACCCUGACCCAGCAACGCCGCGUGAGGGAUGACGGUUUUCGGAUUGUAAACCUCUGUCCUCUGUGAAGAUAGUGACGGUAGCAGAGGAGGAAGCUCCGGCUAACUACGUGCCAGCAGCCGCGGUAAUACGUAGGGAGCAAGCGUUGUCCGGAUUUACUGGGUGUAAAGGGUGCGUAGGCGGAUUGGCAAGUCAGAAGUGAAAUCCAUGGGCUUAACCCAUGAACUGCUUUUGAAACUGUUAGUCUUGAGUGAAGUAGAGGUAGGCGGAAUUCCCGGUGUAGCGGUGAAAUGCGUAGAGAUCGGGAGGAACACCAGUGGCGAAGGCGGCCUACUGGGCUUUAACUGACGCUGAGGCACGAAAGUGUGGGUAGCAAACAGGAUUAGAUACCCUGGUAGUCCACACUGUAAACGAUGAUUACUA